This 72-nucleotide transfer RNA is filed under the name Usnea pennsylvanica. RNAcentral's name for it is "tRNA-Ile". It matches the Rfam family "tRNA". From Rfam's summary of the family: Transfer RNA (tRNA) molecules are approximately 80 nucleotides in length. The record is from RNAcentral. Lineage: Eukaryota; Fungi; Ascomycota; Lecanoromycetes; Lecanorales; Parmeliaceae.
GGUUCCUUAACUUAAUUGGUAAAGUAUAUUCUUGAUAAGGAUAGGUUCGGCGUUCAAUUCGCUGAGGAAUCA